Long non-coding RNA from Amblyraja radiata (thorny skate), 80 nucleotides. RefSeq lists it as uncharacterized. The transcript has 3 exons. NCBI's taxonomy places the organism in Eukaryota, Metazoa, Chordata, Chondrichthyes, Rajiformes, Rajidae. The record is from RefSeq and is a predicted model, not a curated record.
GUGUAGGAUAGUGUUAAUACUUUUAAAUGAGGUUCUCCCCUCAUCUAUCUAAACUUCAGCGAGUCCCGGCCCAGUGCCGU